Molecule: ribosomal RNA, 435 nt
Filed under: uncultured bacterium 'eubacterium sp.'
Lineage: Bacteria
Also listed under: 1 other name
Description: bacterial SSU rRNA
Rfam family: Bacterial small subunit ribosomal RNA
Source: RNAcentral
AACGAACGCUGGCGGCAGGCUUAACACAUGCAAGUCGAACGCUCGCAGCAAUGCGGGAGUGGCAGACGGGUGAGUAACGCGUGGGAACAUACCCUUUGGUUCGGAAUAACUGAGAGAAAUUUCAGCUAAUACCGGAUGUGCCCUUCGGGGGAAAGAUUUAUCGCCAAAGGAUUGGCCCGCGUCUGAUUAGCUAGUUGGUGAGGUAACGGCUCACCAAGGCGACGAUCAGUAGCUGGUCUGAGAGGAUGAUCAGCCACACUGGGACUGAGACACGGCCCAGACUCCUACGGGAGGCAGCAGUGGGGAAUAUUGGACAAUGGGGGCAACCCUGAUCCAGCCAUGCCGCGUGAGUGAUGAAGGCCCUAGGGUUGUAAAGCUCUUUCACCGGUGAAGAUAAUGACGGUAACCGGAGAAGAAGCCCCGGCUAACUUCGUG